Molecule: ribosomal RNA, 253 nt
Filed under: uncultured bacterium
Lineage: Bacteria
Description: partial 16S ribosomal RNA
Rfam family: Bacterial small subunit ribosomal RNA
Source: RNAcentral
UACGUAGGGGGCUAGCGUUGUCCGGAAUUACUGGGCGUAAAGGGCGUGUAGGCGGUGGAGCAAGUCAGAUGUGAAACCCCUGGGCUUAACCGAGGGCAUGCAACUGAAACUGUUCCACUUGAGUGCAGGAGAGGGAAGCGGAAUUCCUGGUGUAGCGGUGAAAUGCGUAGAUAUCAGGAAGAACACCGGUGGCGAAGGCGGCUUUCUGGCCUGUAACUGACGCUGAGGCGCGAAAGCGUGGGGAGCAAACAGG